GUUUUAGGCCGGUCUCAGGUUCUGGGGCCUUCCCAUGGAGAGAGGUCCAUUUGAGUUGGUCGUAGUGACAGUGAGCUUCUCUGGAAAUUGCGUAUCCUCAGCUGCCCUGCCUUCCACUCCAACUCCAGAGAGCAGCCAACGUGUCACAAUGGUCCUGCCCAUGGACCUGGAGCCUAGAGAGAAAUGAGCUCAAGAAACCCGGAGCAAGAGAGGAGUGGUCCCUGAGAAGUCAGUGGCCCUAGAUGUUGUGGCUGCUGAAAAAAAAAAAACAAAAAAAACCAAAAAGAAGAAGAAGAAGAGGCUGUGAAAGUGGCCGGCCAAGAGCGCCACAGGUUCCCUGGUUGCUUCUCAUUCCCCUGUCCCCUGCAUCCUGUCUCUUGUUAACAGAAAAAAAUGCUUUCAUUUUGA
Mus musculus (house mouse) is the source of this 408-nucleotide long non-coding RNA. RefSeq annotates it as predicted gene, 39275. The transcript is spliced from 2 exons. Lineage: Eukaryota; Metazoa; Chordata; Mammalia; Rodentia; Muridae. The record is from RefSeq and is a predicted model, not a curated record.